This is a long non-coding RNA of Homo sapiens (human), 245 nucleotides long. RefSeq lists it as uncharacterized. The record is from RefSeq and is a predicted model, not a curated record. The transcript is spliced from 3 exons. NCBI's taxonomy places the organism in Eukaryota, Metazoa, Chordata, Mammalia, Primates, Hominidae.
AGCAAUUGCAAACAAAUCCUGACUGUGAGAAACACUAUCAGACAAAGUUUCUGGUUCUUUCAAGAAAUGAACUGCAAGAAAAAAAAAGGGAGUUUUAAAGACAGCCUAGAGAGGCUGCUUGUACCCUUCACCCAGUUUUUUCCAUUGGUUACACUUGAUGUAUGCAUUUGUGAGUUAUAUUCUUUUCCUUCUCCCUGAAGAACUUUUAACAUUUCUCACAAGUCAUAUUUUCUAGUGAUGAAUUC